AAAGACAGAUUAGAGAAUAAGGAUAAUAUUGAGGGAGAAAUUUUAAUUUUUUUCCUGGUUGGUGGUUGAUAACCGUAUUGGCAUCUUUUGGAAACAUCAAGGACAAAUGGUUUCACCUUUUUGGGUCCACUAUAAGUGGACGUCACCUUUGUAACUUUGAUGAUUUUGGUUUUAUUAUAGAUAUGCUCUUAGAUUUGUAAAUUUUUUUACAUGUGCGGCACCCCUUUGGUGCCUACACUCAAUAUAUUCCUUACUCUUUUAUCUCAAAAAAGCCGUGUUGGCAUCUUCGG
This 290-nucleotide long non-coding RNA is filed under the name Carica papaya (papaya). Its description in RNAcentral is "long non-coding RNA (CPAP_LNC013970)". The record is from RNAcentral. Lineage: Eukaryota; Viridiplantae; Streptophyta; Magnoliopsida; Brassicales; Caricaceae.